GAUGAACGCUGGCGGCGUGCCUAAUACAUGCAAGUCGAGCGAACAGACGAGGAGCUUGCUCCUCUGACGUUAGCGGCGGACGGGUGAGUAACACGUGGAUAACCUACCUAUAAGACUGGGAUAACUUCGGGAAACCGGAGCUAAUACCGGAUAAUAUAUUGAACCGCAUGGUUCAAUAGUGAAAGACGGUUUUGCUGUCACUUAUAGAUGGAUCCGCGCCUCAUUAGGUAGUUGGUAAGGUAACGGCGUACCAAGGCAACGAUGCGUAGCCGCCCUGAGAGGAUGAUCGGCCACACUGGAACUGAGACACGGUCCAGACUCUGACGGGAGGCAGCAGUAGGGAAUCUUCCGCAAUGGGCGAAAGCCUGACGGAGCAACGCCGCGUGAGUGAUGAAGGUCUUCGGAUCGUAAAACUCUGUUAUUAGGGAAGAAAAAAUGUGUAAGUAACUAUGCACGUCUUGACGGUACCUAAUCAGAAAGCCACGGCUAACUACGUG
RNAcentral lists this ribosomal RNA (497 nucleotides) under uncultured bacterium. RNAcentral describes it as "partial 16S ribosomal RNA". It matches the Rfam family "Bacterial small subunit ribosomal RNA", at positions 28 to 507 of the family's 1533-position model. The record is from RNAcentral.